Molecule: ribosomal RNA, 506 nt
Filed under: uncultured bacterium
Lineage: Bacteria
Description: partial 16S ribosomal RNA
Rfam family: Bacterial small subunit ribosomal RNA
Source: RNAcentral
AGUGAACGCUGGCGGUAGGCCUAACACAUGCAAGUCGAACGGCAGCACAGGAGAGCUUGCUCUCUGGGUGGCGAGUGGCGGACGGGUGAGGAAUACAUCGGAAUCUACUCUGUCGUGGGGGAUAACGUAGGGAAACUUACGCUAAUACCGCAUACGACCUACGGGUGAAAGCAGGGGAUCUUCGGACCUUGCGCGAUUGAAUGAGCCGAUGUCGGAUUAGCGAGGUGGCGGGGUAAAGGCCCACCAAGGCGACGAUCCGUAGCUGGUCUGAGAGGAUGAUCAGCCACACUGGAACUGAGACACGGUCCAGACUCCUACGGGAGGCAGCAGUAGGGAAUAUUGGACAAUGGGCGCAAGCCUGAUCCAGCCAUACCGCGUGGGUGAAGAAGGCCUUCGGGUUGUAAAGCCCUUUUGUUGGGAAAGAAAUCCAGCUGGCUAAUACCCGGUUGGGAUGACGGUACCCAAAGAAUAAGCACCGGCUAACUUCGUGCCAGCCGCCGCGGUAA